Molecule: transfer RNA, 84 nt
Filed under: Felis catus (domestic cat)
Lineage: Eukaryota; Metazoa; Chordata; Mammalia; Carnivora; Felidae
Also listed under: 2 other names
Rfam family: tRNA
About the family: Transfer RNA (tRNA) molecules are approximately 80 nucleotides in length. Their secondary structure includes four short double-helical elements and three loops (D, anti-codon, and T loops).
Source: Rfam by way of RNAcentral
GCCUGGGUGGCUCAGUUGGUUGAGCAUCUGACUUCGGCUCAGGUCAUGAUCCUGUGUUCAUGGGUUCAAGCCCCUCAUUAGGCU